AACGAACGCUGGCGGCAUGCCUAACACAUGCAAGUCGAACGAGCACUUCGGGCAUAGUGGCGCACGUGUGCGACGCGUGGGGGAACCUGCCCUUGUGGUCGACAUAACCCGCCGACUGGGGUUCUAAUACCGGAUAAGGUCUUCGGACAAAACAAUAGUCGCCUUUGGAUGGGCCUGCGUUGGAUUAGGUAGUUGGUAGGGUAAAGGCCUACCAAGGCUGCGAUCCAUAGCUGGUCUGAGAGGACGACCAGCCACACUGGGACUGAGACACGGCCCAGACUCCUACGGGAGGCAGCAGUGGGGAAUAUUGGACAAUGGGCGAAAGCCUGAUCCAGCAAUGCCGCGUGAGUGAUGAAGGCCUUAGGGUUGUAAAGCCCUUUUACCCGGGAUGAUAAUGACGGUACCGGGAGAAGAAGCCCCGGCUAACUCCGUG
RNAcentral lists this ribosomal RNA (433 nucleotides) under uncultured bacterium. Its description in RNAcentral is "partial 16S ribosomal RNA". It matches the Rfam family "Bacterial small subunit ribosomal RNA", at positions 29 to 507 of the family's 1533-position model. The record is from RNAcentral.